GUCCCUGUAGCGCAAUGGAUAGCGCGUUGGGUACCUAAUACAACGGUCGUGGGUUCGACCCCCACCAGAGAUG
Molecule: non-coding RNA, 73 nt
Organism: Trichonephila clavata
Lineage: Eukaryota; Metazoa; Arthropoda; Arachnida; Araneae; Nephilidae
Source: the annotation of a GenBank genome assembly